Pelobates cultripes (western spadefoot toad) is the source of this 205-nucleotide non-coding RNA. The record is from the annotation of a GenBank genome assembly. NCBI's taxonomy places the organism in Eukaryota, Metazoa, Chordata, Amphibia, Anura, Pelobatidae.
AUCAGACAUCGAGGCAUCACUCUGCCUUCAUUACGAACAAACGAAUACAAUUCAAAUCCUUAACAGCUAAUAGGGACUUGUCUCGGCACGCCUGACAUUCACAAAGUUCUCCAUGCGCAUUCAGUAAUUUGUUACGCUAUUUAAUAUUACAUACAUCUUACUAUGUUAUUUAUGUUCAAGAAGUCCAUCAGGAUUGACUUUCGGU